RNAcentral lists this ribosomal RNA (301 nucleotides) under uncultured bacterium. RNAcentral describes it as "partial 16S ribosomal RNA". It matches the Rfam family "Bacterial small subunit ribosomal RNA", at positions 509 to 809 of the family's 1533-position model. The record is from RNAcentral.
CAGUAGCCGCGGGAAUACGUAGGGUGCAAGCGUUAAUCGGAAUUACUGGGCGUAAAGCGUGCGCAGGCGGUUAUAUAAGACAGAUGUGAAAUCCCCGGGCUCAACCUGGGAACUGCAUUUGUGACUGUAUAGCUAGAGUACGGCAGAGGGGGAUGGAAUUCCGCGUGUAGCAGUGAUAUGCGUAGAUAUGCGGAGGAACACCGAUGGCGAAGGCAAUCCCCUGGGCCUGUACUGACGCUCAUGCACGAAAGCGUGGGGAGCAAACAGGAUUAGAUACCCCAGUAGUCCCUGUCUCUUAUAA